AUUGAACGCUGGCGGCAGGCUUAACACAUGCAAGUCGAGCGGGGGAAGGUAGCUUGCUACCGGACCUAGUGGCGGACGGGUGAGUAAUGCUUAGGAAUCUGCCUAUUAGUGGGGGACAACAUCUCGAAAGAGAUGCUAAUACCGCAUACGUCCUACGGGAGGAAGCAGGGGAUCUUCGGACCUUGCGCCAAUAGAUGGGCCUAAGUCGGAGUAGCUAGUUGGGGGGGUAAAGGCCUACCAAGGCGACGAUCUGUAGCGGGUCUUAGAGGAGGAGCCGCGAAGCUGGGACUGAGCCACGGCCCAGAAUCCUACGGGAGGGAGCAGUGGGGAAUAUUGGACAAUGGGGGCAACACUGAUCCAGCCAUGCCGCGUGUGUGAAGAAGGCCUUAUGGUUGUAAAGCACUUUAAGCGAGGAGGAGGCUACUCUAGUUAAUACCUGGAGAUAGUGGACGUUACUCGCAGAAUAAGCACCGGCUAACUCUGUGCCAGCAGCCGCAGUAA
RNAcentral lists this ribosomal RNA (501 nucleotides) under uncultured bacterium. RNAcentral describes it as "partial 16S ribosomal RNA". It matches the Rfam family "Bacterial small subunit ribosomal RNA", at positions 30 to 523 of the family's 1533-position model. The record is from RNAcentral.